GUGCCUGCCGCUGUCCGCCGAGCGCUCCGUCUGCCGCUGCGCGCUGGGCUACACGGCGCGCGGCACGCGCUGCGAACCCCUGGACGAGGUGCUGAUCUACUCGCUGAGCUGGGAGCUCCGGGGGCUGGCGCUCAACACGUCGGACGGGGUGCCCGUCGACGCCCUGCCGCCCAUCCCGCAGGUGUCCUGCGCCGCCGCCAUAGACUACUACGCAGAGGAAGAGUGGCUGUACUGGGCGGACCCGGAGAGCGGCGCGGGCUGGCGCGUGCGGCGGGCGGGCGCGGGCCGCGAGCGCGUGCUGCAGCAGGCG
RNAcentral lists this unclassified non-coding RNA (310 nucleotides) under Melitaea cinxia (Glanville fritillary). RNAcentral's name for it is "misc RNA ENSMCXG00005012369.1". Lineage: Eukaryota; Metazoa; Arthropoda; Insecta; Lepidoptera; Nymphalidae. The record is from RNAcentral.